UUCGCAAAAAAAGAUCAAUUAAAUCACGUUCACAAAUAAAACAGGAUUUACAUGUACAACAGAUCAAUUAAAUUAAAUCCACAAAUAAAAAGGAUUACAUGACACAUCUUCCUCCUCGAACGUAUAUUGAACAGCUGAACUCGUAGACGUACAGAAGUAGUAACACUGAACUAGUUUAUUAAGGCUCGCAUUAUUCCGAUUUUCGAGGCACGGUAGAAUUUUUUAGGCGGUGCAGAUAACGUGGCAACACCACAUCAAUGUAGUCCAUGCGUUGUUCAUCGUAGUAAUCCAAGAUCAAUCAUCACAUGAUGGAGCAGGCAUCCGAUGGGUUCUCCUCCGUGAACCAUGGUGGCGGCAUGAAGCAGGGCUGCUGCGGCGGCCAGGUGGGCGGUGGCCAGCAAUUAGGCGGCUUGCUGCAGCCACAGCCGCCGUGAGAGGGGUGUUGCGACUGCGAGCACUUACAGGGCUCCGGCUUGGGGGGCUCCGGCGGCGGUGGGGGAGGCGGUGGCGGCGGGGGCGGUGGCUUAUCGGCAAGGCAGCAGUGACACUGCUGCGGAGGGCAGUUCCACGGCGAGCUCUGGCACUGCAUAGGGUACGGCAGCGGGUACGGGUAUGGCACGAACUUGUAUGUUGGUUUGGGCGGCGGCGGCGGCGGCGUUUUCUUUUCCGGCUCAGUGCAUGGUUUGGCCUCAGUUUUGCAUGGUUUGUGCUCAGGUUUGCAUGGUUUGUGCUCCGCCGGGCAUGGUUUGGCCUCAGGUUUGCAUGGUUUGUGCUCAGGAGCCGGCGGACAUGGCUUCGGGUGACAUGGACAUGGUUUUGGCGGCUCGGGCGGAGGCGGGCAUGUGCAUGCGCAUGGUGGUUUCGAAGGCUUGGUUGGAGCCGGCGGGCAUGGCUUCGGGUGACAUGGACAUGGUUUUGGCGGCUCGGGCGGAGGCGGGCAUGUGCAUGCGCAUGGUGGUUUCUUUGGCUUGUCUGGGCAUGGGGGCGGCGGCGGCCAUUGUUUUACGAUCUCGAUCUCCUUGACGGCCUUGCAGGCCUUGCACCAGAUCUUUUUGCAGAGCUUCUCCGCGUCGAAUUUCCCACGGACGAUCACCCUGUUGUCCUUGUCCUCGUACUCAGUCUUCUCGAUGCAGUAAUC
RNAcentral lists this long non-coding RNA (1138 nucleotides) under Triticum aestivum (bread wheat). Its description in RNAcentral is "long non-coding RNA (TAES_LNC024249)". Lineage: Eukaryota; Viridiplantae; Streptophyta; Magnoliopsida; Poales; Poaceae. The record is from RNAcentral.